CUACCGGAGUACUAUGAAUAAUAUAAAAAUUUAAAACUCAAAGAACUUGGCGGUGUUUUAGACCACUCAGGGGAACCUGUCUCGUAAUCGACAAUCCACGUUGUACCUGACCUUUUUUUGUUUUCAGUUUGUAUACCGUUGUCGUCAGGUAACUUUUUAGAAAGUAGAAGUUGGCCAUAGAAACAUGGUGAUUUAAGACGUCAAAUCAAGGUGCAGCUAAUAAAAAGGGGAGGAUGGGUUACAGUUAUACAGUUAUAAUUACGGAUACUUAUGUGGAAGCCAUAGGUUAUGAAGGAGGACUUGAAAGUAAAUUGAAUUAUGAAAGCAGUUUGAAUGAGGCUCUGAAACGUGU
This 352-nucleotide ribosomal RNA is filed under the name Oxymeris felina. RNAcentral describes it as "partial 12S ribosomal RNA". It matches the Rfam family "Bacterial small subunit ribosomal RNA", at positions 869 to 1384 of the family's 1533-position model. The record is from RNAcentral. Lineage: Eukaryota; Metazoa; Mollusca; Gastropoda; Neogastropoda; Terebridae.